This 497-nucleotide ribosomal RNA is filed under the name uncultured bacterium. RNAcentral describes it as "partial 16S ribosomal RNA". It matches the Rfam family "Bacterial small subunit ribosomal RNA", at positions 28 to 507 of the family's 1533-position model. The record is from RNAcentral.
GAUGAACGCUGGCGGCGUGCCUAAUACAUGCAAGUCGAGCGGACGGACGAGAAGCUUGCUUCUCUGAUUUUAGCGGCGGACGGGUGAGUAACACGUGGAUAACCUACCUAUAAGACUGGGAUAACUUCGGGAAACCGGCGCUAAUACCGCAUAAUAUUUUGAACCGCAUGAUUCAAAAGUUAUAGACGGUCUUGCUGUCACUUAUAGAUGGAUCCGCGCUGCAUUAGCUAGUUGGUAAGGUAACGGAUUACCAAGGCAACGAUGCAUAGCCGACCUGAGAGGGUGGUCGGCCAAACUGGAACUGAGCCACGGUCCAGACUCCUACGGGAGGCAGCAGUAGGGAAUCUUACGCAAUGGGCGAAAGCCUGAUGGAGCAAAGCCGCGUGAGUGAUGAAGGUCUUCGGAUCGUAAAACUAUGUUAUUAGGGAAGAACAUAUGUGUAAGUAACUGUGAACAUCUUGACGGUACCUAAUCAGAAAGCCACGGCUAACUACGUG